Molecule: small nucleolar RNA, 139 nt
Filed under: Dichanthelium oligosanthes
Lineage: Eukaryota; Viridiplantae; Streptophyta; Magnoliopsida; Poales; Poaceae
Description: Small nucleolar RNA snoR136
Rfam family: Small nucleolar RNA snoR136
Source: Rfam by way of RNAcentral
CUGGCUUCUCUUGAUUUCAUUGUGCCUGUGAGACCUUAUGGUUCGUGGGCGGUGCCAAGAAUGUGAAGCAAAAGGGAUUGUUCCUCUCGCUAUCCGGCGCGGAAUUUGGGAUGCGAUCGGACGUCGAGGAACUACAUUU